GCCGGAGUGGCGGAAUUGGCAGACGCGAUGGAUUCAAAAUCCAUUGGGGUAACACCCGUGGGGGUUCGAGUCCCCCCUCCGGUA
Molecule: transfer RNA, 84 nt
Filed under: Planctomycetota bacterium
Lineage: Bacteria; Pseudomonadati; Planctomycetota
Also listed under: 2 other names
Description: tRNA-Leu
Rfam family: tRNA
About the family: Transfer RNA (tRNA) molecules are approximately 80 nucleotides in length.
Source: RNAcentral